RNAcentral lists this long non-coding RNA (3498 nucleotides) under Rattus norvegicus (Norway rat). RNAcentral's name for it is "long non-coding RNA NONRATT018635". The record is from RNAcentral. Lineage: Eukaryota; Metazoa; Chordata; Mammalia; Rodentia; Muridae.
UGUGCUUAUGUGCAUACUGUGCUUAUGUGCAUACUGUGCUUUUUGGGGAGGAGGGCAGGUUCAUGUGCAUCCAGGGUUCUUGCUCUUUCCAGGUCAGGAUGAGAAGAAGGCCUAAGAGAGCAUGAACAGGUGACUGAUGCAGGUACAAUAGGAGUUGUCAACUAUCAGGCACUCUGUCCCAGAAGGAGCUGGGAGCUGCCAGAGAGGAGGCUACUUGUUGGGUAGAUCUUCAGACUCAGCGUGGGUGAAGGAAGCACCCUUCCCCUUACCACUCUUCCUCACGGCUGCCCAACAUCCUGUGUUUAAAGACUUGGCUUCUGCUUCCUGACUCAGUUCCUGGUUGAAUGGGACCUUCCAGGAGCCUGCUGGGGUAUAGACCAAGGAGCAAAGGAGAGUUCUUAUUUAAGGGCUUUGCUGGGCUCAUCUGUGGGUCCUGGGUCGUCCUCACAUUCUUGCAGGGCUCGCCCAUGCUCAUGAGCACACAUAGCCAUUAGAAUGUGGUCCACCUUUCUGUCCACUCUAGCCUCCCUCUCUUUGGGUUGAUGGAGCGACCUUACCUGGGCUCUGUGCUCUCCUGUGGUGGAGGCCAUUAGCAUUGGGCUGCUGCUUCCCCGGGCAAGACAUUCUCUCUUUUUUUCUAAAGGUCAAAAGCCCCUGGUGAUGGGGGCACUUUAGGUGUGCUUUGGAUGCUGACCUGUUAGGGCUUUAGGAUGUAGGGAUGAUUUUGAUACUACACUUGAUCUUAGCCAAAAGGCCGAGAAGCGAUUGAUUUUGAGACUAGAAGGGCAGACUACACGCAAGCCAGAGCUUUAUGACCGGCCAGUGAUCCUCAGAUCCGUUGGCUGUUUGAAGACCUGUCCCCACUCCCCCUUUAUCAGGUGACUGCCUGGCUCUGUAUCUUACUCGUCAGCCAAUGAAGUAGCAACAGUGCAUUAUUAAUAAUUGCAAUCAAACAGUGCUUAAUAUGCGCCAGACACAGUGCCGGGGGUUUGCAUGCAUGAGCUCCUUCAAUCCAGAAGAAGCUCUGCCUAGGUGGUAUUAUCCCAUCUCACAGAUGGGAAAACUGAAGUUCUGUGCUAGACAUUGAGACCAAAGCGAAGACAACAGACUUGAGGCUUAGGUAGCACUCUGUCUGGUCCGGUUACAGGCUGCAGGCAGCCUCACUUCCGACCAGCUGCUGUGAGGAACGGAUGAGCUAAUGCAUGUAAGCCCUUAGCAAGGUGCCUGGCACCUAGUAAGCACUCAAUAAACGGUAGUUGUUUUCAUUUCAUUCUUUCAACCUGAGCUCAGCGAGGAGUUCGGCCCACAUUGAUGGGCUGCCGGGGAUUCAGCCACCACACUCUCACUGCCUGGACCUAGUUUGGUGUUCCUGUCCCCCCAAGAGAAGCUCUUCAGUGGUCCAAUGGUAAGAGCCCUGGGCAGCAGCUUGGUGUUUCCAUAGCAUUGAGGCCAGCCUGACUGAGGGAUGAUGUGAGGUUGUUUGGCGUUCCUGUUCUUUUCCCUGUGGUGGUGGAGACUGCUCACAGGAGAAAGGCUGUUUGCUCUGACUUGGUGGUGCCUCUACUGGGCAGCCACGGCUUACCUUGCUCUGGGCCCUGCUCUCCCCAGCCAAGUUCUCUACUUCUGUUGUACGUCUCAGGAACCCUCGGUUCCCCCACAAGUGGAUGAUUUCGGAGUAGAGCAGAAUAGAGAAAACAAACCUUAAGCUUCGUGUACCACCCAGAAGCCUAAGAGCCCUGCCUGAGCGCUGACAGCGUAACCACUCCCCCUCUUCCCUCUCUGUCUGGUUUCGUUUGUUGUUUUGAGACAGAGUUUCUUCAUGUGUAGCCCUGGCUGUUCUGGAACUUGCUCUGAAGACCAGGCUGGCCUCAAACUCAGAGAUCUGCCAGCCUCUGCUAUCCAGGUGCUGGGAUUAAAGGUGCCACCACCACCUGGGUUUUCUUUCUUAAAAGGACAGGUUAGAGCAGGCGACCAUUGAGGACAGGUGACGUGAGUGUUUGUUCUAGAUUAGCAACAAAUCACAUAGAUUGGGUUUUUUUUCCCCUACAAGAAGAGAUUUAUUGAGAGGAACACAUAGGUUGUUAAUCAUGGAGAGAUAUUUAAUUCAGUUUUCUGAAUAGAUACUGGGAAUUGGGGGGGAGUGAGUCUGUCUGUCUGUCUGUCUGUCUGUCUGUGGUCUUCACCUUUAUUGAGUGGCAUUGGCUAACAUGACCCAGGAGAUUCUCACACUCUGUUAGUAGUAAGGGGGAACUUCUGCUCCAGCUGUGGAGUGUCCCGGGUGUUAGUGAGGCCCAUAGGCCUGUUGCUGGGGUUCAGAUAUGGAGCUCCUCUUGUUCUUCUGCACUUGUGUUUGCCAGCCCUGAUCCCUCCUUUGCCAUGCCAUCUGAUGGACAGGCAGUCCUUUUAUCUAGAGGGAAAAGUCUGAUGCCAAUAGAGGUCCUGAGUGCUGCUCUCCCAGGCUCUGGCCAGGCCCAGCUCCAUAGCUCCUGAACGAAUGUCCGAGUUCCCUGAGUGUCUGAGAAGGCCUAACCACACAGCCACCUGCUCUAAGUUACACUGUUUUUAGGUCUCACCUCAGCCCUUUCUGCUUUCCUUACUAGAAUACCCUUUCCUCAUCCACCAGGUUUGUGUGCUGGUUCAACGGACUUUUCUCAAAGGAACACUGAGGUAGAAAGAGGGUGAGAAUGUUUUUCCAGUGAGUUGAAUGUGCAUACAUGUUUAUGAGAGUCCUCUGUAUGAGCUUUCUUCUCGCUCAUUGGUUUGUCUCAGGCCACACUGGGAGGUGUCUAGGGCUGAACAUAGGGGAGAGAAUGGAGACAAGGGAGCCACUCAGACUCUGGGGGCAGCAACUCUUCAUCUGGCUCGGACUCCUGAGAGCCACAGGAACAGCAACAGGACCCAGAGCAGUAAAAGGGGUUGGGAGUCACACAACUCAAGGUAGACUCAGACCAGUGCAGUGCUCCUGGUGGCCAUAGGGACCAGAAAACACCUUAGGAAAUCUCUCCAUCCUGGGAGUUGUGGAGAGCUCACUGGCCUCUUCUAGAGUCUGUGAACCCAAAUCUCUGCUGAUGUUUAAACACUUUCCAAACAGCAGCAGGGAUCACAGUGGCAGACAGGACACACACCCCAGGCUGUUUCUCAGCCUCUUCCAUUGUGCGGAGGGAAUACUUACUUCACUUAACGCACAGUGCCUGGUGGCUUUCCUGCCCUCAGACCUGGGCAGUGGCACUCAGUCCCUGGCUGUGUGAAAUCCAUGUGGCAGUCCUCUGGUCUCCCCAGACAGGCAUGUGCGUGUGUGUUCUGUCCAGCCCGGGCUUCACCAGUCAGUGUUGCCACCACGUCCGACCUUUCUCUCUGCACUUAGGAUUGGUGUUCACCACACCCGUAGAUUCCUUUCAACGCAGUAUAAGAAUGUGAUAUAUUGUAUAUUGGAAAGUAUUUACCUUAUUUAUAUACCUGAAUGUUCCUAUUAAACAAAUAAACAUAUACUAAAUUCUA